CUGGAACAUUGAGAGGUUCUGGAAUCCCAGUUCAUCUUUCAGGCCAAAGUGACUGACAACCAUCCAGAGACUCAUCCAGACAGACAGGAGAACACUGAUCUUUUCUUGGUAAGAGCAUCCUCAUCAAGUAAAUGCAUGAAAAUUACAACUUUCUGAAAGAAGUCCAACCACAUGUGAAAGAUAAUAAAAAUCUAGAAGAUUAUUUUUAUGACACCAUGGCCUAUUACUAUGGAAAAUAUGAUAAGGAUUUGGAAUUUAGAAACUGAUUCCUGGUCCCCACUCCUGGGCAUAUUCCUUUUCUCCUGGCUCUGCAUCUCAAAGUAAGUUUAUUUUCAAAGUGAAGGGGAGAGAAGGUGUUCUAUGGGAAUUACACCUUCAUCCAAAUACUUCUAGGUUGUAGUGU
This 403-nucleotide long non-coding RNA is filed under the name Capra hircus (goat). RNAcentral describes it as "lncRNA (ENSCHIG00000006403.1)". The record is from RNAcentral. Lineage: Eukaryota; Metazoa; Chordata; Mammalia; Artiodactyla; Bovidae.